AUAUCCCCAUCUGCAGAAGUUUUGAUGCUCUGUGAUCUUAAAUCAUCUGGAUAGGCACUACCAAGAGAAGACUCAGAAUCAUUUCUUGAUAACCUUGCAGGGUCAGCACCAUAAUUUAGNNNNNNNNGGAAACUUCCUUCGGACACCUUCCGGCCUCCCAGAAAAGCUUUUCUCAAAACCAUUUGGUGGGGUGCUCUCAAUUUGUUCUGCCUUCCCAAGAUAGGGAGAAGAGUCAGUCAUGAGAUUCUCUCUACAGCUCCAGCUCCUUGUUAACUGCAUGUUCCUGGAACUUGAAAUAUCAGCUGCCAAGGAUUGUGGAGAUGUUUCAUCAGGGUCAGGACUGACAAGAUCAUCUACGGUCCUUUGCACAUGAUGCAGCCUCUGCUCCAACAUGUCAUAUGUGAAACCAUUUUGUAUGCGACUCACUUCUCUACGUCCAUUUGCUGGAGUUGAUAUUUGUUGCCCUGCUGCUGCAUCAUCCCCAAACAUUGUCAAAGCUAAUGUCCCUUCAUUUUCACCAUUUGAUAUAGAAUGGGGUUCAAAACUGCUCUCUCUUCUUGUCUCAUCCAUUUCAAUACAUUGAACUUCCUUGCAGUAGUCAUCAGUAUUUUCUGCAGGUCCAACAGCGGUAUCCUCCAGACUCUGACAGGAACUGGAUCUAACAAACUUCUUUCCAAUUGACAUCAGUGAAGAAGUACCAUCAGACACAGAAUGGUCAUCAUUAUUAUCCUGAAGAUAGUAGGACUCCUCCAUGUUGCUCCCACUGUCUCCAUAUUCAUCUUCCCAUGUAUGCCCUGCUUGCUGAUUAGGAUGAGGGCCAACCACAGCCCCAUUUCUUGAAGUUUGAUUCUGUCCAAUCAUUCGCAGCAAAUCCUCAACCCGGGAUUCAGCAAGAUCCCGUUGCUUGGUCAACUCUCGAAUCUCCUUCUCCAUCUUUUGAAUUUGAAGAUCUUUCUUUCUAAGUAAUGCCGCAUAAUCACUGGUUGAGGAAGCAGUGACAGGACUUCUCAACUCACUCUCCAAUCUAGCCAACUCU
Molecule: unclassified non-coding RNA, 1036 nt
Filed under: Hevea brasiliensis (rubber tree)
Lineage: Eukaryota; Viridiplantae; Streptophyta; Magnoliopsida; Malpighiales; Euphorbiaceae
Source: RNAcentral